This 301-nucleotide ribosomal RNA is filed under the name uncultured bacterium. RNAcentral describes it as "partial 16S ribosomal RNA". It matches the Rfam family "Bacterial small subunit ribosomal RNA", at positions 509 to 809 of the family's 1533-position model. The record is from RNAcentral.
CAGUAGCCGCGGGAACACAGAGGGUGCGAGCGUUAAUCGGAUUUACUGGGCGUAAAGCGUGCGUAGGCGGCUUCUUAAGUCGGAUGUGAAAUCCCUGAGCUUAACUUAGGAAUUGCAUUCGAUACUGGGAAGCUAGAGUAUGGGAGAGGAUGGUAGAAUUCCAGGUGUAGCGGUGAAAUGCGUAGAGAUCUGGAGGAAUACCGAUGGCGAAGGCAGCCAUCUGGCCUAAUACUGACGCUGAGGUACGAAAGCAUGGGGAGCAAACAGGAUUAGAUACCCCGGUAGUCCCUGUCUCUUAUAA